GCUGCGGUCAGCAGUGAAUUAUGCUUUUCGAGCGGACAGAAGGGAGCUUGCUCCCGGAUGUUAGCGGCGGACGGGUGAGUAACACGUGGGUAACCUGCCUGUAAGACUGGGAUAACUCCGGGAAACCGGAGCUAAUACCGGAUAGUUCCUUGAACCGCAUGGUUCAAGGAUGAAAGACGGUUUCGGCUGUCACUUACAGAUGGACCCGCGGCGCAUUAGCUAGUUGGUGGGGUAAUGGCUCACCAAGGCGACGAUGCGUAGCCGACCUGAGAGGGUGAUCGGCCACACUGGGACUGAGACACGGCCCAGACUCCUACGGGAGGCAGCAGUAGGGAAUCUUCCGCAAUGGACGAAAGUCUGACGGAGCAACGCCGCGUGAGUGAUGAAGGUUUUCGGAUCGUAAAGCUCUGUUGUUAGGGAAGAACAAGUGCGAGAGUAACUGCUCGCACCUUGACGGUACCUAACCAGAAAGCCACGGCUAACUACGUGCCAGCAGCCGCGGUAAUACGUAGGUGGCAAGCGUUGUCCGGAAUUAUUGGGCGUAAAGGGCUCGCAGGCGGUUUCUUAAGUCUGAUGUGAAAGCCCCCGGCUCAACCGGGGAGGGUCAUUGGAAACUGGGAAACUUGAGUGCAGAAGAGGAGAGUGGAAUUCCACGUGUAGCGGUGAAAUGCGUAGAGAUGUGGAGGAACACCAGUGGCGAAGGCGACUCUCUGGUCUGUAACUGACGCUGAGGAGCGAAAGCGUGGGGAGCGAACAGGAUUAGAUACCCUGGUAGUCCACGCCGUAAACGAUGAGUGCUAAGUGUUAGGGGGUUUCCGCCCCUUAGUGCUGCAGCUAACGCAUUAAGCACUCCGCCUGGGGAGUACGGUCGCAAGGACUGAAACUCAAAGGAAUUUGACGGGGGCCCGCACAAGCGGUGGGAGCAUGGUGGUUUAAUUUCGAAGCAACGCGAAGACCUUUACCAGGUCGUGGACAUCCUCUGACAACCCUAGAGGAUAGGGCUUUCCCUUCGGGGAACAGAAGGUGGACAGGGUGGGUGGCAUGGGAUGGUCGGUCAGCCUCGGUGGUCGGUGGAGAUGUUGGGGUUAAGGUCCCAGCAAACGAGCGGCAACCUGGAUCGUAGGUUGGCCAGCAAUUCAGUGGGGCACUCGUAAAGAGUGAACUUGCGGGUGACAAACGGGAAGGAAGGGUGGGGAUUGAA
RNAcentral lists this ribosomal RNA (1201 nucleotides) under Bacillus safensis. RNAcentral's name for it is "bacterial SSU rRNA". It matches the Rfam family "Bacterial small subunit ribosomal RNA", at positions 35 to 1187 of the family's 1533-position model. The record is from RNAcentral. Lineage: Bacteria; Bacillati; Bacillota; Bacilli; Caryophanales; Bacillaceae.